Molecule: ribosomal RNA, 253 nt
Filed under: uncultured microorganism
Description: partial 16S ribosomal RNA
Rfam family: Bacterial small subunit ribosomal RNA
Source: RNAcentral
UACGGAGGGUGCAAGCGUUAAUCGGAAUUACUGGGCGUAAAGCGCACGCAGGCGGUUUGUUAAGUCAGAUGUGAAAUCCCCGGGCUCAACCUGGGAACUGCAUUUGAAACUGGCAAGCUAGAGUCUCGUAGAGGGGGGUAGAAUUCCAGGUGUAGCGGUGAAAUGCGUAGAGAUCUGGAGGAAUACCGGUGGCGAAGGCGGCCCCCUGGACGAGGACUGACGCUCAGGCACGAAAGCGUGGGGAGCAAACAGG